UUGAAACACCAGUUCUUGUAUGAUCACUGAAGUUAAGCAACAUUGAGCCUGGACAGUAUUUAGAUAGGGUGACAACUUGGGAAAACCAGGUGUUGUCA
This is a non-coding RNA of Acanthosepion pharaonis, 98 nucleotides long. Lineage: Eukaryota; Metazoa; Mollusca; Cephalopoda; Sepiida; Sepiidae. The record is from the annotation of a GenBank genome assembly.